This 511-nucleotide ribosomal RNA is filed under the name Ruditapes philippinarum (Manila clam). RNAcentral describes it as "partial 16S ribosomal RNA". It matches the Rfam family "Bacterial large subunit ribosomal RNA", at positions 1892 to 2597 of the family's 2925-position model. The record is from RNAcentral. Lineage: Eukaryota; Metazoa; Mollusca; Bivalvia; Venerida; Veneridae.
CGUUUUUCGAUCAAAAGAAUGAAAAAUCUGACCUGCCCAGUGAAGUUUUGUUAAACGGCUGCGACGAGAGUCGUACUAAGGUAGCGCGAUAAUUUGUCUUUUAAUUGGAGAAUGGUAUGAAGGGUUUGACGCAGGAUUAUUGUCUCUAUAUAAGAAGAUUAAGUUUCCUUUUGAAUGAAAAGGUUUAGAUAUAUUAAAAGACGAGAAGACCCUGUCGAGCUUAAUUAAGUAAAAUAUUAGAAUGAGGUUAAGUGAAAAGUGUUAAUAGCUUAACUACUGGCUGAAUGUUUUAUGGAAGUUUAAUUGGGGAAAGUUAAGAUUAAAGUAAUAGUCUAAAUUUAGUGUUAAGAUCCUUUUUGAGAGAAAAUAGCAAAAGCUACCGCAGGGAUAACAGCGCAAUUUUCUUUGAGAGAUCUUAUUGAGGGAAGAGUUUGCGACCUCGAUGUUGGAUUAGAAAAACUUUUUGGUGUAGCAGCUAAAAAAUGUGGGACUGUUCGUCCCUUAAGUUCCU